RNAcentral lists this ribosomal RNA (468 nucleotides) under uncultured bacterium. Its description in RNAcentral is "partial 16S ribosomal RNA". It matches the Rfam family "Bacterial small subunit ribosomal RNA", at positions 28 to 507 of the family's 1533-position model. The record is from RNAcentral.
GACGAACGCUGGCGGCGCGCUUAACGCAUGCAAGUCGAACGGAAAGGCCCUGCUUUUGUGGGGUGCUCGAGUGGCGAACGGGUGAGUAACACGUGAGUAACCUGCCCUUGACUUUGGGAUAACUUCAGGAAACUGGGGCUAAUACCGGAUAGGAGCUCCUGCUGCAUGGUGGGGGUUGGAAAGUUUCGGCGGUUGGGGAUGGACUCGCGGCUUAUCAGCUUGUUGGUGGGGUAGUGGCUUACCAAGGCUUUGACGGGUAGCCGGCCUGAGAGGGUGACCGGCCACAUUGGGACUGAGAUACGGCCCAGACUCCUACGGGAGGCAGCAGUGGGGAAUAUUGCACAAUGGGCGGAAGCCUGAUGCAGCAACGCCGCGUGCGGGAUGACGGCCUUCGGGUUGUAAACCGCUUUCGCCUGUGACGAAGCGUGAGUGACGGUAAUGGGUAAAGAAGCACCGGCUAACUACGUG